ACUAACCUUUUUGUUCAAGAUUUUAAUGACGUUUUCUUUGGCGUGGUUGUAUGCUGGAAGAUGUUUUAGUUGAGCUUCAAUAUCUAUGGAAAUGAGAUGAGUAGAGUUUUAUAUAUUUGGUGUUCUUCCGUUGGCUUGUAUCGUUUUCUAGGCAGUUUGAUUCGAAGAAAUUUGGGAAUGAUAUCGUUCAUUGAUUGCAUUGAUGGCAGUUUGGAGUAGAUUGCACGUGGUGUCAAUUGAUCUCCCAGCACAAAGAAGCACAAGAUCAUCUGCGUACAGGCUUUUGUACUUUACUGUACCGGUGUCUGUAAUUCUGACGAUUAUCAACAUAAGCAAUCUCUGGACGACCACCAUCAGCCAGCUCCAAAGAUCGGGAGACACCGUUUGUGCCAUCGUUUUCGUUUCCCUAUCUAAUCGUUCCUUUCACUAUUCUGUACUUCCCCUACCGCUUAAAUUUCGUUCCUCCACUCCUCUCCGCCCUAUUUUCUCCUUAUUCUCUACUUAGGUAAUAAAUGCCGACUUCACCAUAUUUCCUACCUUUCUUACAUUAACUGUGUGAUUAAAUGGGCGGCCAUGAUGGCAUCAAAAUAAUGCUAUAUUAAUAUAUACGAUUCCUGU
Long non-coding RNA from Photinus pyralis (common eastern firefly), 618 nucleotides. RefSeq lists it as uncharacterized. The record is from RefSeq and is a predicted model, not a curated record. NCBI's taxonomy places the organism in Eukaryota, Metazoa, Arthropoda, Insecta, Coleoptera, Lampyridae. The transcript is spliced from 3 exons.